RNAcentral lists this ribosomal RNA (303 nucleotides) under uncultured bacterium. RNAcentral's name for it is "partial 16S ribosomal RNA". It matches the Rfam family "Bacterial small subunit ribosomal RNA", at positions 507 to 809 of the family's 1533-position model. The record is from RNAcentral.
AGCAGUCGCCGCGGUAAUACGUAGGUGGCAAGCGUUGUCCGGAAUUAUUGGGCGUAAAGCACGCGCAGGCGGAUCGGUCAGUCUGUCUUAAAAGUUCGGGGCUUAACCCCGUGAUGGGAUGGAAACUGCCAAUCUAGAGUAUCGGAGAGGAAAGUGGAAUUCCUAGUGUAGCGGUGAAAUGCGUAGAUAUUAGGAAGAACACCAGUGGCGAAGGCGACUUUCUGGACGAAAACUGACGCUGAGGCGCGAAAGCCAGGGGAGCGAACGGGAUUAGAGACCCGCGUAGUCCCUGUCUCUUAUACA